Molecule: long non-coding RNA, 644 nt
Filed under: Pan troglodytes (chimpanzee)
Lineage: Eukaryota; Metazoa; Chordata; Mammalia; Primates; Hominidae
Description: long non-coding RNA NONPTRT007912
Source: RNAcentral
CACACACACACACACAUCUAUACAGUCCACACCAUCACACACACACAUCCAUACAGUCCACACCAUCACACACACAUCCAUAUAGUCCACACCAUCACAUACCCGUACAGUCCACACCGUCAUACACACACACACAUAUCUGUACAGUCCACACCUUCACACAUCCAUACAGUCCACACCGUCAUACACACACACAUCUAUACAGUCCACACCGUCACACAUCCGUACAGUCCACACCGUCAAACACACACACAUCUAUACAGUCCACAUCGUCACACAUCCAUACAGUUCACACCAUCAUACACACAUCUAUACAGUCCACACCAUCACAUGCACACACAUCUAUAUGGUCUACACCAUCACACACACACACAUCUAUACAGUCCACACUGUUACAUGCACACAUCUAUACAGUCCACACCGUCACACAUCUAUACAGUCCACACCGUCAUACACACACACAUCUCUACAGUCCACACCAUCACAUACACACACACAUCUAUAUGGUCUACACCGUCACACACACACAUCUAUACAGUCCACACCGUCGUACACACACGCCCACACCCGCAUGCCCACACAUCCAUACAGUCCACAUUCACGUAUGCCCAUAUGCAUCCAUUCACACGUGUGUACACAUGCUC